AUUGAACGCUGGCGGCAGGCCUAACACAUGCAAGUCGAACGGUAACAGGAAGCAGCUUGCUGCUUUGCUGACGAGUGGCGGGCGGGUGAGUAAUGUCUGGGAAACUGCCUGUUGGAGGGGGGUAACUACUGGAAACGGUAGCGAAUACCGCAUAACGGCGCAAGACCAAAGAGGGGGACCUUCGGGGCUCUUGCGAGCGGGUGUGCCCAGAUGGGAUUAGCUAGUGGGGGGGGGAACGGCUCACCUAGGCGACGAUCCCUAGCUGGUCUGAGAGGAUGACCAGCCACACUGGAACUGAGACACGGUCCAAACUCCUACGGGAGGCAGCAGUGGGGAAUAUUGGACAAUGGGCGCAAGCCUGAUGCAGCCAUGCCGCGUGUAUGAAGAAGGCCUUCGGGUUGUAAAGUACUUUCAGCGGGGAGGAAGGGCGUAAAGUUAAUACCUUUGCUCAUUGACGUUACCCGCAGAAGAAGCACCGGCUAACUCCGUG
RNAcentral lists this ribosomal RNA (490 nucleotides) under uncultured bacterium. RNAcentral's name for it is "partial 16S ribosomal RNA". It matches the Rfam family "Bacterial small subunit ribosomal RNA", at positions 29 to 507 of the family's 1533-position model. The record is from RNAcentral.